This 1358-nucleotide ribosomal RNA is filed under the name uncultured bacterium. RNAcentral's name for it is "bacterial SSU rRNA". It matches the Rfam family "Bacterial small subunit ribosomal RNA", at positions 28 to 1381 of the family's 1533-position model. The record is from RNAcentral.
GAUGAACGCUAGCUACAGGCUUAACACAUGCAAGUCGAGGGGCAGCAUGGUCUUAGCUUGCUAAGGCCGAUGGCGACCGGCGCACGGGUGAGUAACACGUAUCCAACCUGCCGUCUACUCUUGGACAGCCUUCUGAAAGGAAGAUUAAUACAAGAUGGCAUCAUGAGUCCGCAUGUUCACAUGAUUAAAGGUAUUCCGGUAGACGAUGGGGAUGCGUUCCAUUAGAUAGUAGGCGGGGUAACGGCCCACCUAGUCUUCGAUGGAUAGGGGUUCUGAGAGGAAGGUCCCCCACAUUGGAACUGAGACACGGUCCAAACUCCUACGGGAGGCAGCAGUGAGGAAUAUUGGUCAAUGGGCGAGAGCCUGAACCAGCCAAGUAGCGUGAAGGAUGACUGCCCUAUGGGUUGUAAACUUCUUUUAUAAAGGAAUAAAGUCGGGUAUGGAUACCCGUUUGCAUGUACUUUAUGAAUAAGGAUCGGCUAACUCCGUGCCAGCAGCCGCGGUAAUACGGAGGAUCCGAGCGUUAUCCGGAUUUAUUGGGUUUAAAGGGAGCGUAGAUGGAUGUUUAAGUCAGUUGUGAAAGUUUGCGGCUCAACCGUAAAAUUGCAGUUGAUACUGGAUAUCUUGAGUGCAGUUGAGGCAGGCGGAAUUCGUGGUGUAGCGGUGAAAUGCUUAGAUAUCACGAAGAACUCCGAUUGCGAAGACAGCCUGCUAAGCUGCAACUGACAUUGAGGCUCGAAAGUGUGGGUAUCAAACAGGAUUAGAUACCCUGGUAGUCCACACGGUAAACGAUGAAUACUCGCUGUUUGCGAUAUACUGCAAGCGGCCAAGCGAAAGCGUUAAGUAUUCCACCUGGGGAGUACGCCGGCAACGGUGAAACUCAAAGGAAUUGACGGGGGCCCGCACAAGCGGAGGAACAUGUGGUUUAAUUCGAUGAUACGCGAGGAACCUUACCCGGGCUUAAAUUGCAGAUGAAUUACGGUGAAAGCCGUAAGCCGCAAGGCAUCUGUGAAGGUGCUGCAUGGUUGUCGUCAGCUCGUGCCGUGAGGUGUCGGCUUAAGUGCCAUAACGAGCGCAACCCUUGUUGUCAGUUACUAACAGGUUCCGCUGAGGACUCUGACAAGACUGCCAUCGUAAGAUGUGAGGAAGGUGGGGAUGACGUCAAAUCAGCACGGCCCUUACGUCCGGGGCUACACACGUGUUACAAUGGGGGGUACAGAGGGCCGCUACCACGCGAGUGGAUGCCAAUCCCCAAAACCUCUCUCAGUUCGGACUGGAGUCUGCAACCCGACUCCACGAAGCUGGAAUCGCUAGUAAUCGCGCAUCAGCCACGGCGCGGUGAAUACGUUCCCGGGCCU